GCAAUACAGCAAGACUGAAGACAACCGCCGCGUGACCAACAGAAGUGGCGGCGGCGCACACGUGUGGACGGCGACGACCGAUUGGCGAUUACAAAAAAAUUGAAAAUAACAAUAAACACAAUGCGUUCGUCUCAUACUUUGAUACUUUAUAUAUACUAUAUACACACCUAUACACUUUUAUUGUUAUAUUAUAGACUAUAGUGUGAAUAUAUUUAAAUGUAUAAUAUGUAUAAUUCAUAAAUUAUUAUGUAGAUCGUUAUCAUUUAUCGUCAUAAUACGUGGAUUUCUACUAUUCCAUUGUAUUCCCAGGGAUACGGAUCGGCGGCGGCCGGAUGCGUAUUUUUACACGCGCACGCGUUUGUACGUUUCCGGGUUUAUUUUUGUGUACAUAUUCGAGACGGCUCCGCCGCCGCCUCUAUUAUUAUAACGACAAUAAAAUAAUAAUAAUAAUUACAAACGUAAAUUGUUUUAUCUCCAAUAUUGUCGAAGGACCGCGUUGGUAUUAUAUUACCCGGCGAUCACUAUUAUAUUACUAUAAUGAAAUAUAAUAUUAUUAUCGUGCCGCAGACGUAAUUCUACGUCAGGUUUAUUUUUAUCGCUGCUCCGACAGGUGGUGGCCGAUUGAUAAAAUAUGAAAGACGCACGAGUAUGCGAUAUUGAUAUCGAUUUCCGAGACGCGAAAACUUGUUCGGGACCAUAGAUAAUAAAGAUCUUUAUUAUCUAUGCUCGGGACAAGUUUAAGUUUUUAAAACUGUGUACCACGAUAAUUUAUACAGCCACGGUAAUCUUUUACAAUCAUGAAAAAUAAAAUAUGGAAUAUUAUGGAAGACGUAUAUGGUAUAUCUACAUAUUACAUGCAUAAAUUCGGUUUUUUACUGCGGAAAAGCCGUGCUUUUACAAGAUUAUGCACAAUGUAAUCAGUCGUUGUGCAACACUCAUGUAUCAAUGUAUCAUGGAGUAUUGUUUUUGUAUUGUGUUUGGUUCAAGGAUUUUCUCAACUAAUAGGGGCUGGAUUUGAUGGACCUAAUAGAACUAAAAAACGACAAAAAAAGAACCGCUCAAAUGAUUUAGAAUUUUGGAAGAGGUCACUUUUUAUUCCGUACUUGGAUUUUUUCAUAUCCUCGUUAUAGCACGCAGACUUUAAGAUGAAAAGAUCCAAAGCGACUUGUAUACUGAUUUAAAAUACAAAAUUUGUACCUAAUGUA
Myzus persicae (green peach aphid) is the source of this 1205-nucleotide long non-coding RNA. RefSeq lists it as uncharacterized. The record is from RefSeq and is a predicted model, not a curated record. The transcript has 2 exons. Lineage: Eukaryota; Metazoa; Arthropoda; Insecta; Hemiptera; Aphididae.